This 253-nucleotide ribosomal RNA is filed under the name uncultured bacterium. Its description in RNAcentral is "partial 16S ribosomal RNA". It matches the Rfam family "Bacterial small subunit ribosomal RNA", at positions 524 to 776 of the family's 1533-position model. The record is from RNAcentral.
UACGUAGGGUGCGAGCGUUGUCCGGAAUCAUUGGGCGUAAAGCGCAUGUAGGCGGCGGGAUAAGUGGUAUGUGAAAGCCCAGGGCUCAACCCUGGAAGUGCAUCCCGAACUGUGUCGCUUGAAUCUCGGAGGGGGACAGAGAAUUCCCGGUGUAGAGGUGAAAUUCGUAGAUAUCGGGAGGAAUACCAGUGGCGAAGGCGCUGUCCUGGACGAAGAUUGACGCUGAGGUGCGAAAGCGCGGGGAGCGAACAGG